UGAAAAAUCUUUAUUACUGUCUCUUGUGGU
RNAcentral lists this non-coding RNA (30 nucleotides) under Mus musculus (house mouse). The record is from RNAcentral. Lineage: Eukaryota; Metazoa; Chordata; Mammalia; Rodentia; Muridae.